RNAcentral lists this ribosomal RNA (305 nucleotides) under uncultured bacterium. Its description in RNAcentral is "bacterial SSU rRNA". It matches the Rfam family "Bacterial small subunit ribosomal RNA", at positions 333 to 637 of the family's 1533-position model. The record is from RNAcentral.
GGACUCCUAGGGGGGCAGCAGUGAGGAAUAUUGGUCAAUGGGCGAGAGCCUGAACCAGCCAAGUCGCGUGAGGGAAGACGGUCCUAUGGAUUGUAAACCUCUUUUGCCGGGGAGCAAAAAGCGGUACGUGUACCGCAUCGAGAGUACCCGGAGAAAAAGCAUCGGCUAACUCCGUGCCAGCAGCCGCGGUAAUACGGAGGAUGCGAGCGUUAUCCGGAUUUAUUGGGUUUAAAGGGUGCGUAGGCGGAAUAUCAAGUCAGCGGUAAACAUUCGGGGCUCAACCCGGUCGUGCCGUUGAAACUGAU